RNAcentral lists this ribosomal RNA (285 nucleotides) under uncultured Enterobacteriaceae bacterium. Its description in RNAcentral is "partial 16S ribosomal RNA". It matches the Rfam family "Bacterial small subunit ribosomal RNA", at positions 397 to 674 of the family's 1533-position model. Lineage: Bacteria; Pseudomonadati; Pseudomonadota; Gammaproteobacteria; Enterobacterales; Enterobacteriaceae. The record is from RNAcentral.
CCGCGUGUAUGAAGAAGGCCUUCGGGUUGUAAAGUACUUUCAGCGGGGAGGAAGGUGUUGUGGUUAAUAACCACAGCAAUUGACGUUACCCGCAGAAGAAGCACCGGCUAACUCCGUGCCAGCAGCCGCGGUAAUACGGAGGGUGCAAGCGUUAAUCGGAAUUACUGGGCGUAAAGCGCACGCAGGCGGUCUGUUAAGUCAGAUGUGAAAUCCCCGGGCUCAACCUGGGAACUGCAUUUGAAACUGGCAGGCUUGAGUCUCGUAGAGGGGGGUAGAAUUCCAGGU